GGGGGGGGGGGGGGCUUGGUUCGUCAAAAACAUGUUCUGAAAAACAAGUUUGAGAGAAAAAAAUUAAAAACAUCCAAUCGAAUGUACCUUGAGAGCCAGCAGAAGCAGGAACGUCUCCACACUGUAGAAGCCUCUGUCCACAAAGUCGCCCAUGAAGAGGUAAUUGGUCUCUGGGACGUCGCCACCCACCUGUAAAUGGGUAAGUAAAUGGGUCAAUGUCAGUGCCACCACCAUUUUAGCAGGUGUAUCGAGCUCGACCCGGCACCACUUUGCCAGGAACACCAAGUAUCGGCACCUCGCCUCAGAAUCAGACGGGGACAUUCUCAAAAACCCCAUUAAGAAAACCCCCUGCUUCCGGAACAAUCCCACUGAAGUAUUUAAAAAGGCCUUAAACUAUAAAAGCGGCCACAAUUAUCAGAUGAGUCUUUUCUAGAGUCCAAAAACACAUCAGAAUUAGCAAAAAAACAUUCUACAUGUCUUAACUCACAUAUUGGCCCAAGUUAAACAGUUAACUUUAAAUUACUUUAGACAGAUUCUGUAAAAACAUUAAAUUCCACGCUCCUCAAGCUCCAUGAAACCAUGACUGACUCAGCAGAGAGGCUGGACAAUGUCAACAGCUCAAAAAAAAAAAUACACUGUCCUACCAGUGCAUAGCAAUGACUGUUGUCGCUCUUCAGCAGGCCAUUAAUGUAUUGCUCACUGCUCAUCGCCGAGGGCGGUGCUACUCGUCUUAUCUCACCCACUAUCACAACAAGAAGAAACUCCAUCGCUACAUUAAAAAAAAGAAAGCAAAAGAGCAAUACAGAAGAAACAACGAGCCAAGAGAUGCACCAACACAACUUGUGCCCAAGAGGCCGUUUGGAGUCAGGAGUCAUUUUAUUGCAAAGUCGGUCCAGGCGCUGGUAUCGUCUCUGAGGGCAACACUAGCAGCCACAACAGCCAACAAGCUGACAUUGUCUUAUGUUCAGGUGGCUGGCAGUCCUUUUUGGCGUCAAAUAAUUGAAUUGGGUUUACUCAACAAAAAAAGAAUUACCGUGAUAAACCUGCAUAUCGCCACAAAAGAUGAAUUCUCGCCCAUACCGCCCGCCGGCAGAAACUACACAAUAAACCCCCUACUGUACAAUGACAGGGAGGCUCCUCAGUACAAAACAAAAUGGCAAACUGAAAGGCUAAACGGCCAAGAGGACCACUCUUUCCUUCUCAACUUUCACAAUAAAAGCCCUGGACAUAUACAAUGCAUAACUGUUAGCCAGAUGGAACUCAAAUUAACUUAGUCAACCUAAGCAAAACAAAGACAUUCUUUUCAUAUCGCUGAAGGUCAAAAGGAACCCAGUUGUUUGUUCGGCUUCUCUUCCGUUCUGUCACUUGUUUGUUUCACCAGCAUUCCGCUGGGUCCUAAGUCCCUCCUUGUUCAGCUUCUUAUCACAGACAAACUUUGCAAUAAAUUGUUUUUCUGUGACGUUUCAAAACCCCUCCAAACAGCACACAGCUCCUCUCUAGGGCACAAGUUGUGUUGGUGCAUCGUUGGUCUCUCGUUGUUCCUCCUGCACUGCUCUAUUCAGUGUUUCCAUGUAGCAAAGAAGUUUCUUCUUGUGGUAGCGGGCGAGCUGUACCCAGCAUGCACUUUGGCAUGUACAAUUACUAGUGUUACAAAUUGUUCAUGUGUCAAACUCUCCUGGUGUUUUACUCUGUUAAAAAGUGUUUGUUGUGGUUUUAUUGAUUGUCGUUAUAACCAUGACUCCAUCUCAACAAACAUAAGACAAGUAGCUCCAACACUCAGCGGUGAAUAAUUCAAUUUGCUGCACCAGUUGUUAGGGCCGGUUGAAACCGGUUUAAACGGUACACCACCCAGCCCAGGAAGAGCGUAGCAAUUGUCAUUAUCUCCACCAGUAUGAAUGGUUUUAAUAAGUAAUACUCACAGGGGAAUUAUUUGUAUUUUUGUGUCAUUUAUACCCUCAUAGUGUGGAUGCGUGUGUAAAAAAAAAAGAAGAAGAAAAAAAAGACUUACUCUGAAAAGCUCUUUCAAGUCAUAGAACUGGCCGUGUAUAUCACCACACACCUGAGGGAACAUCAAACAGGA
Gasterosteus aculeatus aculeatus (three-spined stickleback) is the source of this 2080-nucleotide long non-coding RNA. Lineage: Eukaryota; Metazoa; Chordata; Actinopteri; Perciformes; Gasterosteidae. The record is from Ensembl.